GAAACGACUGCUAAGACUGGAUAGGAAAAGUAAAGGCAUCUUUGCUUUUUUAAAAGAUCUUCUUUGAAGGUAUGCUUAAGGAGGGGCUUGCGACACAUUAGUUAGUUGGCAGGGUAAAGGCCUACCAAGACUAUGAUGUGUAGCUGGACUGAGAGGUUGAACAGCCACAUUGGGACUGAGACACGGCCCAAACUCCUACGGGAGGCAGCAGUAGGGAAUUUUCGGCAAUGGAGGAAACUCUGACCGAGCAACGCCGCGUGAACGAUGAAGUACCUCGGUAUGUAAAGUUCUUUUAUUAAGGAAGAAAAAAGAGUGGAAAAACUCCCUUGACGGUACUUAAUGAAUAAGCCCCGGCUAAUUAUGUGCCAGCAGCCGCGGUAAUACAUAAGGGGCGAGCGUUAUCCGGAAUUAUUGGGCGUAAAGGGUGCGUAGGCGGUUUAAUAAGUCUAUAGUUUAAUUUCAGUGCUUAACGCUGUUGUGCUAUAGAAACUGUUUUACUAGAGUGAGAUAGAGGCAAGCGGAAUUCCAUGUGUAGCGGUAAAAUGCGUAAAUAUAUGGAGGAACACCAGAGGCGUAGGCGGCUUGCUGGGUCUUUACUGACGCUGAGGCACGAAAGCGUGGGGAGCAAACAGGAUUAGAUACCCUGGUAGUCCACGCCGUAAACGAUGAGUACUAAGUGUCGGGUAAAACUGGUACUGAAGUUAACACAUUAAGUACUCCGCCUGAGUAGUACGUACGCAAGUAUGAAACUUAAAGGAAUUGACGGGACUCCGCACAAGCGGUGGAUCAUGUUGUUUAAUUCGAAGAUACACGAAAAACCUUACCAGGUCUUGACAUUUUCUUGCGAAAUUAUAGAAAUAUAAUGGAGGUUAUCAGGAAAACAGGUGGUGCAUGGUUGUCGUCAGCUCGUGUCGUGAGAUGUUAGGUUAAGUCCUAAAACGAGCGCAACCCUUGUCGUUAAUUGCCAGCAUGUAAUGAUGGGGACUUUAACGAGACUGCCAAUGAAAAAUUGGAGGAAAGGUGGGGAUUACGUCAAAUCAUCAUGCCCCUUAUGAUCUGGGCUACAAACGUGAUACAAUGGUUGAUACAAAGAGUAGCUGAAACGCGAGUUCUUAGCCAAUCUCAAAAAAUCAAUCUCAGUUCGGAUUGAAGUCUGCAACUCGACUUCAUGAAGUUGGAAUCGCUAGUAAUCGCGAAUCAGCAUGUCGCGGUGAAUACGUUCUCGGGGUUUGUACACACCGCCCGUCA
This 1248-nucleotide ribosomal RNA is filed under the name Cassava frogskin disease phytoplasma. Its description in RNAcentral is "bacterial SSU rRNA". It matches the Rfam family "Bacterial small subunit ribosomal RNA", at positions 153 to 1399 of the family's 1533-position model. The record is from RNAcentral. Lineage: Bacteria; Bacillati; Mycoplasmatota; Mollicutes; Acholeplasmatales; Acholeplasmataceae.